CUGCUAUCGGGAUAGGACUAAGACACGCUAGUCGAGCGCUUCCUAGCCAAUUUGGGAGCGCGGCACACAGCUCAGUAACACGUGGCUAACCUGCCCUUGGGACAAGAACAACCCCGGGAAACUGGGGCUAAUUCGUGAUAGGCGAAGAACUCUGGAAUGAGUCUUCACCCAAAAGACGCUUACACUACGCUUGUAGGCGCCGCCCAAGGAUGGGGCCGCGACCGAUCAGGUUGUUGGUGAGGUAAUGGCUCACCAAGCCUUUUACCGGUGCGGGCCGUGAGAGCGGGAGCCCGGAGAUGGGCACUGAGACAAGGGCCCAGGCCCUACGGGGCGCAGCAGUCGCGAAAACUUUGCAAUAAGCGAAAGCUUGACAGGGCUAUCCCGAGUGCCAUCCGCUGAGGAAGGCUUUUACCCAGUCUAGAACGCUGGGGGAAUAAGGAGAGGGCAAGUCUGGUGUCAGCCGCCGCGGUAAUACCAGCUCUCCGAGUGGUGUGGAUGUUUAUUGGGCCUAAAGCAUCCGUAGCUGGCUAGGUUAGUCCCUUGUUAAAUCCACCGAAUUAAUCGUUGGAUUGCGGGGGAUACUGCCUGACUAGGGGACGAGAGAGGCAGACGGUAUUUCCGGGGUAGGGGUGAAAUCCUAUAAUCCCGGGAGGACCACCAGUGGCGAAGGCUGUCUGCUAGAACGCGCCCGACGGUGAGGGAUGAAGCUGGGGGAGCGAACCGGAUUAGAUACCCGGGUAGUCCCAGCUGUAAACGAUGCAGACUA
RNAcentral lists this ribosomal RNA (766 nucleotides) under uncultured archaeon. RNAcentral's name for it is "bacterial SSU rRNA". It matches the Rfam family "Archaeal small subunit ribosomal RNA", at positions 27 to 769 of the family's 1478-position model. The record is from RNAcentral.